GAUGAACGCUAGCGGCAGGCCUAACACAUGCAAGUCGAGGGGUAGAAGGAGCUUGCUCCUUUGAGACCGGCGCACGGGUGCGUAACGCGUAUGCAAUCUACCUUGUACAGGGGAAUAGCCCAGAGAAAUUUGGAUUAAUGCCCCAUAGUAUAUAACCUUCGCAUGUUCGUUAUAUUAAAGUUCCAACGGUACAAGAUGAGCAUGCGUCCCAUUAGUUAGUUGGUAAGGUAACGGCUUACCAAGACGAUGAUGGGUAGGGGUCCUGAGAGGGAGAUCCCCCACACUGGUACUGAGACACGGACCAGACUCCUACGGGAGGCAGCAGUGAGGAAUAUUGGUCAAUGGUCGCAAGACUGAACCAGCCAUGCCGCGUGCAGGAAGACGGUCCUAUGGAUUGUAAACUGCUUUUAUACAGGAAGAAACCCUCCCACGUGUGGGAGCUUGACGGUACUGUAGGAAUAAGGAUCGGCUAACUCCGUG
This 480-nucleotide ribosomal RNA is filed under the name uncultured bacterium. RNAcentral describes it as "partial 16S ribosomal RNA". It matches the Rfam family "Bacterial small subunit ribosomal RNA", at positions 28 to 507 of the family's 1533-position model. The record is from RNAcentral.